UUACAUACAUGAUAUGAUGUUACAUACUACCACAGUUACAUUCAUCAUGAUACAUGAUGUGAUGUUACAUACUACCACAGUUACAUACAUGAUGUUACAUUCUACCACAGUUACAUACAUGUUACAUUCUACCACAGUUACAUAUAUCAUGUUACAUUCUACCACAGUUACAUACAUGAUGUGAUGUUACAUACUACCACAGUUACAUACAUGAUGUUACAUUCUACCACAGUUACAUACAUGUUACAUUCUACCACAGUUACAUACAUGUUACAUACGACCACAGUUACAUACAUGAUGUGAUGUUACAUACUACCACAGUUACAUACAUGAUGUUACAUACUACCACAGUUACAUACAUGAUGUUACAUACUACCACAGUUACAUACAUCAUGUUACAUUCUACCACAGUUACAUACAUGAUGUUACAUACGACCACAUUUACAUACAUGAUGUGAUGUUACAUACUACCACAGUUACAUACAUGAUGUUACAUUCUGCCACAGUUACAUACAUGAUGUGAUGUUACAUACUACUACAGUUACAUACAUGAUGUUACAUACUACCACAGUUACAUACAUGAUGUUACAUUCUGCCACAGUUACAUACAUGAUGUGAUGUUACAUACUACGACAGUUACUUACAUGAUGUGAUGUUACAUACUACGACAGUUACUUACAUGAUGUGAUGUUACAUGUAGGAAACCAAAGUUGUCAGUGAAUUAAAAAGAUUUGUAUUG
Molecule: long non-coding RNA, 739 nt
Organism: Oncorhynchus keta (chum salmon)
Lineage: Eukaryota; Metazoa; Chordata; Actinopteri; Salmoniformes; Salmonidae
Exons: 2
Source: RefSeq, a predicted model, not a curated record